CUGGGGGUGCAGCAGCCCCCAAGGGUGGGGCUGCCCGCCCAUUAAAGGGGAACGUGAGCUGGGUUUAGACCGUCGUGAGACAGGUCGGACUCUAUCUAACGGGGGUGUGCGCCGCCUGAGAGGAACCCACCCUCAGUACGAGAGGAACAGGGUGGGGGGGCCUCUGGUCAAGGGGUUGUCUAACAAGGCAGCGCCCCGCAGCUACGCCCCCGGGGAUAACCCCUGAAAGCAUCUAAGGGGGAAGCCCCUCUCGAAAAUAGGCG
This 263-nucleotide ribosomal RNA is filed under the name Thermoprotei archaeon. Its description in RNAcentral is "partial 23S ribosomal RNA". It matches the Rfam family "Archaeal large subunit ribosomal RNA", at positions 2616 to 2878 of the family's 2987-position model. Lineage: Archaea; Thermoproteati; Thermoproteota; Thermoprotei. The record is from RNAcentral.